AGCAGCCGCGGUAAUUCCAGCUCCAAUAGCGUAUAUUAAAGUUGUUGCAGUUAAAAAGCUCGUAGUUGAAUUUCGGGGUUAGUAGGUUGGUCAUGCCUCUGGUAUGUACUGGUCUCACUGAUUCCUCCUUCCUGAUGAACCUUAAUGCCAUUUAUUUGGUGUUUUGGGGAAUUUGGACUGUUACUUUGAAAAAAUUAGAGUGUUUAAAGCAAGCUAACGCUUGAAUACAUUAGCAUGGAAUAAUGAAAUAGGACGUUCGAUCCUAUUUUGUUGGUUUCUAGGAUUGACGUAAUGAUUAAUAGGGAUAGUUGGGGGCAUUAGUAUUCAAUUGUCAGAGGUGAAAUUCUUGGAUUUAUUGAAGACUAACUACUGCGAAAGCAUUUGCCAAGGAUGUUUUCAUUAAUCAAGAACGAAAGUUAGGGGAUCGAAGACGAUCAGAUACCGUCGUAGUCUUAACCAUAAACUAUGCCGACUAGGGAUCGGAUGA
RNAcentral lists this ribosomal RNA (487 nucleotides) under uncultured Glomus. RNAcentral's name for it is "SSU rRNA". It matches the Rfam family "Eukaryotic small subunit ribosomal RNA", at positions 569 to 1060 of the family's 1831-position model. The record is from RNAcentral. Lineage: Eukaryota; Fungi; Glomeromycota; Glomeromycetes; Glomerales; Glomeraceae.